This 313-nucleotide unclassified non-coding RNA is filed under the name uncultured Arthroderma. Its description in RNAcentral is "sequence contains ITS1". The stretch from base 1 to 105 matches the Rfam family "5.8S ribosomal RNA", at positions 50 to 154 of the family's 154-position model. Lineage: Eukaryota; Fungi; Ascomycota; Eurotiomycetes; Onygenales; Arthrodermataceae. The record is from RNAcentral.
GAAAUGCGAUAAGUAAUGUGAAUUGCAGAAUUCCGUGAAUCAUCGAAUCUUUGAACGCACAUUGCGCCCUCCGGUAUUCCGGGGGGCAUGCCUGUUCGAGCGUCAUUGCAACCCUCAAGCCCGGCUUGUGUGAUGGGCGGUCGUCCCCCUGGGGACGCGUCCGAAAAGCAGUGGCCAGGCCGAGACUCCGGCGCCUGAGCGAAUGGGACUUCCAACGCUUCUAGGACCGGCCGGCUACCUUGGCCUAAUAAACAAGUUCUUAGGAACUAUCUAGGUUGACCUCGGAUCAGGUAGGGAUACCCGCUGAACUUAA